RNAcentral lists this ribosomal RNA (429 nucleotides) under bacterium. RNAcentral describes it as "partial 16S ribosomal RNA". It matches the Rfam family "Bacterial small subunit ribosomal RNA", at positions 355 to 776 of the family's 1533-position model. The record is from RNAcentral.
UAGGGAAUCUUCGGCAAUGGGGGCAACCCUGACCGAGCAACGCCGCGUGAGUGAAGAAGGUUUUCGGAUCGUAAAGCUCUGUUGUAAGAGAAGAACGUGUGUGAGAGUGGAAAGUUCACACAGUGACGGUAACUUACCAGAAAGGGACGGCUAACUACGUGCCAGCAGCCGCGGUAAUACGUAGGUCCCGAGCGUUGUCCGGAUUUAUUGGGCGUAAAGCGAGCGCAGGCGGUUUAAUAAGUCUGAAGUUAAAGGCAGUGGCUUAACCAUUGUUCGCUUUGGAAACUGUUAAACUUGAGUGCAGAAGGGGAGAGUGGAAUUCCAUGUGUAGCGGUGAAAUGCGUAGAUAUAUGGAGGAACACCAGUGGCGAAAGCGGCUCUCUGGUCUGUAACUGACGCUGAGGCUCGAAAGCGUGGGGAGCAAACAGG